CAGCCGUAAACUAUGCGCGUUAGGUGUAUCGGUGACCACGAGUUACCGAGGUGCCGAAGGGAAACCGUGAAACGUGCCGCCUGGGAAGUACGGUCGCAAGGCUGAAACUUAAAGGAAUUGGGCGGGGGAGCACCACAACAGGUGGAGCCUGCGGUUUAAUUGGACUCAACGCCGGGAAGCUCACCGGAUAGGACAGCAGAAUGAUUGCCGGGCUGAAGACCCUGCAUGACUAGCUGAGAGGAGGUGCAUGGCGUAGACGUCU
This 262-nucleotide ribosomal RNA is filed under the name uncultured archaeon. Its description in RNAcentral is "partial 16S ribosomal RNA". It matches the Rfam family "Archaeal small subunit ribosomal RNA", at positions 748 to 1009 of the family's 1478-position model. The record is from RNAcentral.